GGUCCGCUGGCUCAAUGGCAGAGCGUCUGACUACGACCAUCUUCAAUGUCGCUUGAGAUCAGGUAAUCAGGAGGUUCCAGGUUCGACCCCUGGGUGGAUCG
Chaetomium strumarium is the source of this 101-nucleotide non-coding RNA. NCBI's taxonomy places the organism in Eukaryota, Fungi, Ascomycota, Sordariomycetes, Sordariales, Chaetomiaceae. The record is from the annotation of a RefSeq genome assembly.